AACGAGGCCGACCUGCGGCUGAGUUACCUGCGGAGGGAUCAUUAAAGAGAGGGGACACAUUCCCGCGCGGGUCUCCGCGGACUAUGUUAUAUGCAUGGUCGUCAGCCGAAUUCCCGCGAGGGAGUGUGUCUCUGGGCCGCUAAAAAACGGUCUAUUCCUGCUUCUUGAGCACCAUAUGUUUCCUCGGCGGGCCUGCCCGCCAAUGGGGACCCCAUUAAAACCUUUGUAAUAGGCAGUGAC
RNAcentral lists this unclassified non-coding RNA (240 nucleotides) under soil metagenome. Its description in RNAcentral is "partial contains 5.8S ribosomal RNA, internal transcribed spacer 2, and large subunit ribosomal RNA". The record is from RNAcentral.